AGAUCGAGCCUACGGGAGACAGCAGUGGGGAAUAUUGCACAAUGGGGGAAACCCUGAUGCAGCGACGCCGCGUGAGUGAAGAAGUAUUUCGGUAUGUAAAGCUCUAUCAGCAGGGAAGAAAAUGACGGUACCUGACUAAGAAGCCCCGGCUAACUACGUGCC
This 162-nucleotide ribosomal RNA is filed under the name uncultured bacterium. RNAcentral describes it as "partial 16S ribosomal RNA". It matches the Rfam family "Bacterial small subunit ribosomal RNA", at positions 328 to 509 of the family's 1533-position model. The record is from RNAcentral.